UCUUCGGACGCUGACGAGUGGAGAACGGGUGAGUAAUACAUCGCGAACGUGCCCAGUCGUGGGGGAUAACUACUCGAAAGAGUAGCUAAUACCGCAUACGAUCUGAGGAUGAAAGCGGGGGACCUUCGGGCCUCGCGCGAUUGGAGCGGCCGAUGGCAGAUUAGGUAGUUGGUGGGAUAAAAGCUUACCAAGCCGACGAUCUGUAGCUGGUCUGAGAGGACGACCAGCCACACUGGGACUGAGACACGGCCCAGACUCCUACGGGAGGCAGCAGUGGGGAAUUUUGGACAAUGGGCGAAAGCCUGAUCCAGCAAUGCCGCGUGCAGGAUGAAGGCCUUCGGGUUGUAAACUGCUUUUGUACGGAACGAAAAAGCUCCUUCUAAUACAGGGGGCCCAUGACGGUACCGUAAGAAUAAGCACCGGCUAACUACGUGC
This 435-nucleotide ribosomal RNA is filed under the name Delftia tsuruhatensis. RNAcentral describes it as "bacterial SSU rRNA". It matches the Rfam family "Bacterial small subunit ribosomal RNA", at positions 77 to 508 of the family's 1533-position model. The record is from RNAcentral. Lineage: Bacteria; Pseudomonadati; Pseudomonadota; Betaproteobacteria; Burkholderiales; Comamonadaceae.